Long non-coding RNA from Bos grunniens (domestic yak), 2279 nucleotides. The record is from Ensembl. NCBI's taxonomy places the organism in Eukaryota, Metazoa, Chordata, Mammalia, Artiodactyla, Bovidae.
AUGCUGGCUCUUUCUCCCGGCCUCUUCUGGCCUGAAGAUGUGAGAAAAGUCGGGAGCCUUCCAGCAGACCCAAGGAAAGGCUCAGUCUUGAACGACCGACGCCAGCAGAGCACACGGGACACAGAACUGCUGUGGACGGAGGCGGAGGACGGAGGCGGAGGACGCAGGCGGAGGACGGAGGCGGUGGACCGAGGCUGUGGACGGAGGCGGAGGACAGAGGCGGAGGACGCAGGCGGAGGACGGAGGCGGUGGACCGAGGCUGUGGACGGAGGCGGAGGACAGAGGCGUGGACGGAGGCGUGGACGGAGGCGGAGGACGGAGGCGGUGGAUGGAGGCGGAGGACGGAGGCGGUGGACGGAGGCGGAGGACGGAGGCGGACGGAGGCGGAGGACGGAGGCGGAGGACGGAGGCGGUGGACGGAGGCGGUGGUCGGAGGCGUGGACGGAGGCGGUGGACGGAGGCGGAGGACGGAGGCGUGGACGGAGGCGUGGACGGAGGCGGAGGACGGAGGCAGUGGACGGAGGACGGAGGCGGAGGCGUGGGCGGAGGCGGAGGACGGAGGCGUGGACGGAGGCGGAGGACGGAGGCGUGGACGGAGGCGGAGGACGGAGGCGGAGGACGGAGGCGGUGGACGGAGGACGGAGGCGGUGGACGGAGGCGGUGGACCGAGGCGGAGAACGGAGGCGUGGACCGAGGCGGAGGACGGAGGCGGAGGACGGAGGCGGAGGACGGAGGCGGUGGACGGAGGACGGAGGCGGUGGACGGAGGACGGAGGCGGAGGACGGAGGCGGAGGACGGAGGCGGUGGACCGAGGCGGAGGACGGAGGCGUGGACGGAGGCGUGGGCGGAGGCGGAGGACCGAGGCGGAGGACAGAGGCGUGGACGGAGGCGGAGGACGGAGGCAGUGGACCGAGGCGGUGGACCGAGGCGGAGGACGGAGGCGUGGACGGAGGCGUGGGCGGAGGCGGAGGACGGAGGCGUGGACGGAGGCGGAGGACGGAGGCGGUGGACCGAGGCGGAGGACGGAGGCGUGGACGGAGGCGUGGGCGGAGGCGGAGGACGGAGGCGUGGACGGAGGACGGAGGCGGAGGACGGAGGCGGAGGACGGAGGCGGAGGAGGACGGAGGCGGAGGACGGAGGCGGAGGACGGAGGCGGAGGACGGAGGCGGUGGACGGAGGACGGAGGCGGUGGACGGAGGACGGAGGCGGUGGACGGAGGCGGUGGACGAAGGCGGAGGACGGAGGCGUGGACGGAGGCGGAGGACGGAGGCGGUGGACCGAGGCGGAGGACGGAGGCGUGCACGGAGGCGGAGGACGGAGGCUGUGCAUUGAGGCGGGGCGGGAGCCAGGUUGUCCUGUCGCUUUGUGUGCGGUAGUGACGGUGGCCUCUGCCACCAGACUGCGCCCUCCAGGGUGGCUGGUGCAAACCAGGGUGGGCUCCAGGUGCAGAGUCCAUGCCUCGGCGCCAAGAAGCGAACUGGCUCAGUGGCAGCCUUACUUGUUGAAAUGAAAAUACAUUGGACAUACUGGGUUAAAUAAAAUACACUAUUCAAAUUUAUUUCACAGUUCCUUUUAAUGUAGCUGCCAGGAAAUUUAAAAUCUCACCUUUGGCUGGCAUUACGUUUCCUUUGGACAGUGCUGGUCUAGCAGUUGAGCACAUUGUCGGGGGGUCAAGGGCCCCCCUCAGUAUCCCCUGAUGACCAGCCUACCACGCAGACCUCACAGGGGCCCUUGGGCAGCCGUCUCAGGUGGUCCGUGGCCAGGAGCCUGUGCCCCUCUCUCUGCUCGGGGCAUCAGGUGUGACCCGUGGGUUUUUGUAGGGCAGGCCAGUUGCUCUGCUCCAGCCCUGACCACACCCUCAGUCCUGGAUGCUGCGGCUGAGGGCGUGGGAGGUGGCCUGCCCGGCUCGGCCUGGGAGAAGGGGCGACCUCUGUGAGACGGGGCUGGCUGGGUGGUCCAGGCAGAAAGCGUAUCAGGGCCUCAGAGGUGGGAAGAGUUGCAGGGAGGGGUUCCAGAGAGGGAUGGGGCUGAGGCGGACUGAGCGAUUGGAGAGGAAGGGGUGGCAGCCGGUUCCUCGGGGAGGAGGUGGGUCCAGAGGCGGUGGCUGCGCCUGUCAGUUUGUUCUGUGGCACCUGGGUGUCGGGCAGCUGUCGGGGUGCCUGCAGGUUGGUUACUGGUGUGUGGCCUGGCCAAAGGUGAGACGUGGGAGACAUCUCCUUGAGGCGAAGGCCAGCACCAUUAGAACCCUGCCAGAGCCCUGGAGGGCCUCGAGGAGAAUG